Molecule: long non-coding RNA, 418 nt
Filed under: Fukomys damarensis (Damara mole-rat)
Lineage: Eukaryota; Metazoa; Chordata; Mammalia; Rodentia; Bathyergidae
Description: lncRNA (ENSFDAG00000024846.1)
Source: RNAcentral
AAUUAACAAGGCCCAAUUUGCUAUUUGGCAGAUCUCAACACUGUAGAAGCUGACCAUUUGAAAUGCAUCGUAUGGUCAAUGUCUUCGAAGAACAAUGGAACAGGAAGGCAAUGGAUGGAUAAUGUGUUUAAAGUCUUCAUGGAGCAUAAAAAUACUUGCUGUCAACAUUGCCAUUCCUGGUCUCUGUUCAUCAACGCCCCCCAUCUUAAGCCACUCCACAGGCACUUUUGGAGAAAAAAACAAACAAAAUCCCAUAAGAAGGUCUGUUGCCAGGGUGACUCGGGGACUAAGCACAGGGACUCACUGCACAGCUGCCCUGAGCAAACUUGCUGCCAUCACCAGGAACAUCAGAACAGAGACCUGGCUGGGCCGCUGCGAAGGAGCCCUUAAGACAGGGGAAGGACCUCUCUACUUUUGA